This 496-nucleotide ribosomal RNA is filed under the name uncultured bacterium. RNAcentral's name for it is "partial 16S ribosomal RNA". It matches the Rfam family "Bacterial small subunit ribosomal RNA", at positions 29 to 507 of the family's 1533-position model. The record is from RNAcentral.
AUGAACGCUGGCGGCGUGCCUAAUACAUGCAAGUCGAGCGAACAGACGAGGAGCUUGCUCCUCUGACGUUAGCGGCGGACGGGUGAGUAACACGUGGAUAACCUACCUAUAAGACUGGGAUAACCUCGGGAAACCGGAGCUAAUACCGGGUAAUAUAUUGAACCGCAUGGUUCAAUAGUGAAAGACGGUUUUGCUGUCACUUAUAGAUGGAUCCGCGCCGCAUUAGCUAGUUGGUAAGGUAACGGCUUACCAAGGCAACGAUGCGUAGCCGACCUGAGAGGGUGAUCGGCCACACUGGAACUGAGACACGGUCCAGACUCCUACGGGAGGCAGCAGUAGGGAAUCUUCCGCAAUGGGCGAAAGCCUGACGGAGCAACGCCGCGUGAGUGAUGAAGGUCUUCGGAUCGUAAAACUCUGUUAUUAGGGAAGAACAAAUGUGUAAGUAACUAUGCACGUCUUGACGGUACCUAAUCAGAAAGCCACGGCUAACUACGUG